AACGAACGCUGGCGGCGUGGAUAAGACAUGCAAGUCGAGCGGGAACUUUCGCUGUAGCAAUACAGUGAAAGUUCUAGCGGCGAACGGGUGCGUAACACGUGGACAAUCUGCCCUAAAGUGGGGGAUAGCUCGGCGAAAGCCGAAUUAAUACCGCAUGUGAUGAGAGACGACAUCGUCUUGAAAUCAAAGCCGGGGCAACCUGGCGCUUUUUGAGGAGUCCGCGGCCAUCAGCUUGUUGUGAGGUAACGGCUCACCAAGGCUAUGACGGGUAGCUGGUCUGAGAGGACGACCAGUCACACUGGAACUGAGACACGGUCCAGACACCUACGGUGGCAGCAGUCGAGAAUUUUUGACAAUGGGGAAACCCUGAUCGAGCGACGCCGCGUGGG
RNAcentral lists this ribosomal RNA (389 nucleotides) under uncultured bacterium. RNAcentral's name for it is "bacterial SSU rRNA". It matches the Rfam family "Bacterial small subunit ribosomal RNA", at positions 29 to 405 of the family's 1533-position model. The record is from RNAcentral.